RNAcentral lists this ribosomal RNA (430 nucleotides) under Dendropsophus aff. minutus. RNAcentral's name for it is "partial 16S ribosomal RNA". It matches the Rfam family "Bacterial large subunit ribosomal RNA", at positions 1855 to 2484 of the family's 2925-position model. Lineage: Eukaryota; Metazoa; Chordata; Amphibia; Anura; Hylidae. The record is from RNAcentral.
CAGCCUGCCAGUGACUAAGUUCAACGGCCGCGGUAUCCUAACCGUGCGAAGGUAGCGUAAUCACUUGUUCUUUAAAUGAGGACUAGUAUGAAUGGCACCACGAAGGUUAUGCUGUCUCCUUUUUCUAAUCAAUGAAACUGAUCUCCCCGUGAAGAAGCGGGGAUACAACUAUAAGACGAGAAGACCCUAUGGAGCUUUAAACCAUGUAACACUGGCUCAUACAUUAAAAUAUUCCAGAAUUUCUCAUAAUUACUCUAGCCACCAUGAUUACUAGUUUUAGGUUGGGGUGACCACGGAGCAAAAAUUAACCUCCAUGUUAAACGGAGCUACUCCUGAGCCAUAAGCCACGACUUUAAGCACUAAUAAAUUAAUAUUAAUUGACCCAAUAUUUUUGAUCAACGAACCAAGUUACCCUAGGGAUAACAGCGCA